Long non-coding RNA from Ipomoea nil (Japanese morning glory), 101 nucleotides. RefSeq lists it as uncharacterized. The record is from RefSeq and is a predicted model, not a curated record. The transcript is spliced from 3 exons. NCBI's taxonomy places the organism in Eukaryota, Viridiplantae, Streptophyta, Magnoliopsida, Solanales, Convolvulaceae.
GGUUAGACUAACUAAUUGGUUGGAUUCAAUCUUUUAGUGUGGUUUGGCCAUGGGCAUUAUAGCCUAGUUGAGUGACCUAGGCCCAAUUUUAGAUUCUAACA